Molecule: long non-coding RNA, 709 nt
Filed under: Mustela putorius furo (domestic ferret)
Lineage: Eukaryota; Metazoa; Chordata; Mammalia; Carnivora; Mustelidae
Description: lncRNA (ENSMPUG00000028996.1)
Source: RNAcentral
UAUAGAAUUUCAUGGACAUUCUACAAAAUCUUACAGACUCUUUAGUCUUGAAUUGAAGUGGAGUAAAAGAGUUCGACCAGAUGUCCACAGACAGAUUCUACCUGUUCUGCCACAUAAAAUGAAGCAUUAUGCUGAAAGUGCAUAUGUAGAGUUUGGAGCAAAAAUGAGAUUGGAGUGAGGUGGAGAGGAAAUAGACAUAAAUGAGUCAGAGAAGCCGUAGUCCUCCACCCCGUAGGAUUUGCUUUCCGCAGCUUCAGUAACCAAAAGUCAAAGGCGUUGUUGAAAGCCAUGCUCCUCCUUCUGAGGAACCCUCAGAAGGUGAGCAGGUGCCUAACUCUACGUCACAGUGCCUACGCCAUUUCCCUCACGUCGUCUCACCAUGUAGGCAUUUCAUCAUCUCACCUCCUCGUCAGAAGUAUGAGUGCCGCACCACAAGUGCUACUUCCCAUCAUUCAUUAUCUACAGUGACUUCAGAUCCAAUAAAACGCCAAUACUGCUAAAGUACUCAAAUUUAGGAUUCCAGUUAUUUACAGUGUAAAAUCCAGAUUCCUUUAAUGCAUCUAUUUGCCUCCUUUGCCAGCCUGGAUUCUCUCCUAUUCUUUUCUGUGCUCCAGAAGAACAAAGAAUUUGCAUUCUCUAACAAAAUCUGAACAAAACAACAUGAAAUAAAAUUUUUUAAUUGCUGUCCUUGCCUGUGCUUGAAAUGCCC